UGCCUCAUUAAAGGACAAGAACUUGAGCGGAAGUGUAUCGUACAAUAGACGGAGUAUGCUUGUAUAGUCUACAGUCUGCGGAACCUUAAGUGCCAGCUUUAUAAUGUCAUUUUCCCUACUACAGGCCCGCCUGAAGGUAGACACAUCAUCAUCAGUAAGCUUUGACAAAAAGCAUUGAGUAGCUAGCUCUUCUAUGCAAUCUAUAGCUGUUUUAUAAGGCAUUUAAUGACAAAUUGAUUGUUUAGAAACAUACUAGUGAAAGUAGCCUUAAUCGCCUCUCGAAAUUAAUAAUGCAGUAUGGUGUAAAAAAUGCAACUCGCGUUGCUCUACUUUUUUCCGAAUUUCCGAAUACGCAGCUGGGGUGAUUGAUCGAUUUCGUAUCAAAAGUUUUGUUUAUAAAAACCGCGAAAUCCUUCUUCAACAGAUGGAUUUUUACAGUGCUGACAUACAAUGACAACAACUAUAAUAGAAAAUAACCGAAAUAUGAAUGGAGAGAGACUACUUGUUUGUAUUAAGCAAUGUAUUAUGCAGCACUUCCAACCUAUGAUAUACGAUGAAAGUAGAUGUGUAAUUGAAACCACAAGGGGAACUUUUUCAGUUCCUGACAAUUAUAAGAAAUAUAAAACCUUAGCAUUUGCUUUUGUUGGACACGUACUGAAUACAGAUGACACACCGGUAAUUGAAAAAGAACUGGAUUGGCCUGAUCCUGCACUAGUGUACAAUACAAUUGUCGAUCGAAUCAGAAAUCACCCAGAAUUAUCACAGUUUAUAUCGGUUGCAUUCAUUAGUCAAUUAAAGGCGGCCAUAGGGGAGGGUUUAGAUAUCAAUGUAAGAGGCACGUUAAACCGCAGGGGAAAGGGUAUAAGAAGGCCGAAAGGCGUAUUUUUUAGAUACAUGGAAUCCCCGUUUGUCAAUACCAAGGUUACUGCAUUCUUUUCUUAUCUUCGAGACUAUAAUAAAAUUGCCUCAGAGUAUCACAAUAAUACUAAAUUCAUUCUCACGUUUUCAUGUAAAGCAUAUUGGGCAUCUGGCCCAAACUUUUCCGCCUUGAAGAAUGUUAUUAGGUGCUCCAUAGUUCAUGAAUACAUUUCUAGGUUUGUGGAAAGAGAACAGGGUCUUAUAGGAGAUCAGGAGCAACCACGUGAAGAAAACUCUUCCCCUGAACUAAGUAAUGUGCAACAUGAAGUCAAUAAUUUAAUCGAACAAGAUGCCGCGGCGGAUGAAGGGUUGUGGAGUGAGAUAGAUUCAUUAUGUGAAAAAUGGCAGUCUGAAGCGGAAGACCAAGCUGAAGCGGAGAUAAUAGCCGACAGAAUAAUUGGAAAUAGUCAAAGGAUGGCGAACCUUAAAAUUCGUCGUACAAAGUUCAAAAGUGUCUUGUAUCAUAUACUAAAGGAACUAAUUCAAUCUCAGGGAACCGUAAAGGUUUAUCGCGGUAGUAGCUUUUCACACGAUUCUAUAAAGAUAAGCUUACAUUAUGAAGAGCAGCAUAUUACAGCCGUAUGGGUCUACCUAACAGUGAAAUUUGAAGAGCAUUGGAAACCAGUUG
This 1546-nucleotide long non-coding RNA is filed under the name Drosophila guanche. The record is from RNAcentral. Lineage: Eukaryota; Metazoa; Arthropoda; Insecta; Diptera; Drosophilidae.